RNAcentral lists this ribosomal RNA (115 nucleotides) under Streptococcus pneumoniae. The record is from RNAcentral. RNAcentral also lists the same sequence under 19 other names. Lineage: Bacteria; Bacillati; Bacillota; Bacilli; Lactobacillales; Streptococcaceae.
UGGUGAUGAUGGCGAAGAGGUCACACCCGUUCCCAUGCCGAACACGGAAGUUAAGCUCUUCAGCGCCGAUGGUAGUCGGGGGUUUCCCCCUGUGAGAGUAGGACAUCGCCAGGCA